This 116-nucleotide ribosomal RNA is filed under the name Diaphorina citri (Asian citrus psyllid). The record is from RNAcentral. Lineage: Eukaryota; Metazoa; Arthropoda; Insecta; Hemiptera; Psyllidae.
GCGCGGCGAUAGCACGUUGAAUGCAUUAGUUCCCAAUGGAUCACUAAAGUUAAGCAACGCUGAGCGUGAUUGGUAUCCAAAUGAGUCACUUUCUGGGCAAUCGUGGGCAACUGGCU